Molecule: ribosomal RNA, 486 nt
Filed under: uncultured bacterium
Lineage: Bacteria
Description: partial 16S ribosomal RNA
Rfam family: Bacterial small subunit ribosomal RNA
Source: RNAcentral
AUUGAACGCUGGCGGCAUGCCUUACACAUGCAAGUCGAACGGCAGCACGGGUGCUUGCACCUGGUGGCGAGUGGCGAACGGGUGAGUAAUACAUCGGAACAUGUCCUGUAGUGGGGGAUAGCCCGGCGAAAGCCGGAUUAAUACCGCAUACGAUCUACGGAUGAAAGCGGGGGACCUUCGGGCCUCGCGCUAUAGGGUUGGCCGAUGGCUGAUUAGCUAGUUGGUGGGGUAAAGGCCUACCAAGGCGACGAUCAGUAGCUGGUCUGAGAGGACGACCCGCCACACUGGGACUGAGACACGGCCCAGACUCCUACGGGAGGCAGCAGUGGGGAAGUUUGGACAAUGGGCGAAAGCCUGAUCCAGCAAUGCCGCGUGUGUGAAGAAGGCCUUCGGGUUGUAAAGCACUUUUGUCCGGAAAGAAAUCCUUGGCCCUAAUACGGUCGGGGGAUGACGGUACCGGAAGAAUAAGCACCGGCUAACUACGUG